Molecule: long non-coding RNA, 4012 nt
Organism: Dunckerocampus dactyliophorus (ringed pipefish)
Lineage: Eukaryota; Metazoa; Chordata; Actinopteri; Syngnathiformes; Syngnathidae
Exons: 10
Source: RefSeq, a predicted model, not a curated record
CUUGGAGUCUGAAGAAGCGGCAAAAGAAGUGGGAGACAUAUUGGACUUAAUUGAAGAACGAGAGCGACAGAUACAGGCACAUUACAAUGGUUUAUGCAAAGGCUGUUUGGCUUGAGGGUCACAAACAGUUUGAGGGUGUCAUCCCAAAAAACUGGAUAUAGGAAGAAGGAAAUGUUGUGCGAUGGCCAAAGAAAAGUGUGCAUUCAGCCCAUAAAAAAAGGACCCAGACGAUGACUGGAACACAUUCCCACUUGUGAAAAUAAAGACAAUAUCAGACAAUGAGAAAGAUUGUGAAGACUAUAACUACACUUCAUCAGCCCAAACUGACCAUGAGGGUUCCACCAUCGUGCUAGAAGAAAUCAGGAAGAGACAUGUAAAGAAGAGGACAUAUGAUUUUGUUGACGAUAAGGAUACAGGUUUGCAUGCAUAUCCAAAGCCUCCUAAAAUCCAGAAGAACGAAUUUGCUUCUGCUACCAUCGAUCAAACCACUCCUAAGGAAUCCACCAUGGAUAAUGACGUGUGUACUUGGACUAGACGGCUGCCAAAUUCAUCCAGAGGAUGCUGAAAGUGAACAUGACAGCAGACAUGUUACAGCAUUUUCCUGUCUUCCUGUUCCACACAUGCCAUCUUGGUGUUACAGGGUUGUCAAGGUCAAGGGAGCGUUCCAACUCCCCCCGAUCACCAAUCAAGUCAUGGAAGUGAUGGAGGAUAUUCCACUUCUUGUUCUCAGUCAUCAGUGGGCUCAACUCCCAGACGCUCAUCUUCCAGAUAUGGGCAGUCCUGCUCUAGAAGGAAGCGUCCCAACUCUUCCAAUCACCGAUCAAGCCAUCAAAGUCCUACACCUUCCACUCUAGGACACUCAACAUCCAGACAUGGCUGAUGACAAACUCCCUGAUGUCUUCAUUCAAUAUGUAGGGUCACGGUUCCAAAAGGGCAUUCCAACCGACAGAACUUUACGCCAUUGUGACAGCUGCUGUCAAAAGGUGGGACAACAAAGCCACAGACCAUGAAAUUUCACGUACUAUGGCAGACCAUUUCAAACAUGGUCCUGGGCGGUGGUGGAGGCUAUCUUAAAAAAUAAAACAGUGCAGCAUUGACGAGGAAACAUCAGGGAGGAACUUUGGUUGUUUGAGUUCAUCGGUCUACACUAGUUUUGGCCCUGAUCAGUUGUGAUAUGAGAUGGAAACAUUUCACUUUAUGUACAGUAUUAUCUACAGUCAUGACUGUAUUGAAGUCCUUUAUAUCAUGUUCUUCUGGAUAUAAGAGUUUGUUGUUGUCCAUGUGAGAAUAGUAAAUGUUUUAUUGAUAUAUUUUUUUGUUAAAUUGUCUUGUUUUUUUUAAAGGGUUAAAAUUCUGUCCUAAAUUUGUGAUUAUUUAUAAUUAAUUCAUGUUUAAUUUAGACACCAAAGCAAUGUCUUCAUGGAGACGUCUUUUCCAGCAACCUGAAAAAGACGGCUUUUCAACCAAAUUUGGACCGCAAAGGGACGUCUUCAUGGAGAGACGUCUUUUCAACGAUCUGAAAAAGACAGCUUUUCACCUUUCACUUUUCAACCAAAUUUGGACCGCAAAGAGACGUCUUCAUGGAGACGUCUUUUCAACGUCCUGAAAAAGACGACUUUUCACUUUUCAACCAAAUCUAAACGUUUCAACGCAUGGUCAUGUCUUUUCAACGUCUUUUCAACCAAUUUUUGCUGGGUGGGACAUAUUUAAAAUCUUUAAUUUGGAUAAUUGAUAGUUGUGUAACUACAGCUUGUUAAAUUUUGCUUAUUCCAACACAAGAAAUGCAACCACAUUGAAAUAUAAUGUUGAAUAAUUGCGUUCAUAAUGAGCAGACAAAUGCUUGAACCAUACAGCUCACAGAUCUUUACUAUGCAGCUUCUUAAGAGUAGGUAGAGUUCAGCUGCUUCAUCAGGUGUGAAUGGCGCAUGCAGAAAGUUGUCUGCCAUCAGCCGGCAAGAUCGUGUGAACACUGUCUCAUCAUAUGGAUAAGGUCCUCGAUGUAUACACUGUGCUUUGCAGUCUUCUCUGAUACAUGCCUCAGAUGAUCUUGGCCGCUAGACCUCCACUAGGGCAGACCAUAAUCUAAAUUUAAAAAAUCCUGAAUCCAAAUGGUAAUUUUGAUUAGUGGGGAAAUGUAAUAAAUUCUUCCUUGUUAUUCCUGACCUUCCCUCAAAGUUUCAGCCAAAUUCAUUCAGUACUUUUUGUGCAAGGUUGCUCACAGCACGCACAGACUCACCAAUACAACUGAAAACAUAACCUCCUUGGUGGAGGUAAUAAAGUACUAAUAGUUACCAGUCACUCAAGUAAAUAAUACGACAUGACAUCAGAUGAGUUUACUUUAGCUCCUCAACCAAUCAUCCAUUGUUACCUCAGCCAAGGAGGUUAUGUUGGUGAGUGUGUCUGUCUGUGUGCGUGUCUGUGUGUGAGCAACUUCACACAAAAACUACUGCACAGAUUUGGAUAAAACUUUCAAGCAAGAUCAAUAACACACAAGGAAUAAUUUAUUCCAUUUUCAAACUGACCGGGGUUACCGACUGGAUUCAGGAAUUGUUUAAAUGUUGAGGUCUGUUACCUGCCUUGGCAGAGCUCUGCACUCUCUGACUGUUUUCACUUAUUUUCAGAGAAAAAAAAUGUACAUCUGCUUUGACACAAUUGGUGUAAUUUGUUUAAACACGACUAUCUAUGUAUAGACCAUUGGUUCUCAAAUUGUGGUGCGGGUACUGGUGGUACAUGGGCUCUCUGUGGUGGUACUCAGACAACCUGGGUUAGUCGUAGUGUAAUUCUAGAUCUGAUUUCAUACUUGUUUACAACUGGAUUAUGUGUAUGUUCAGCUCCAGUUUGGACAUGAUUUGGACGUCCUAAAAAAUCUGAUGAAGACAAAAUUUUGUGGUUGUGGGUUAGUCCUAGGUGGUACUUGGGACACCAAAUAUUUAUAGAGGUGGUACUUGGUGUAAAAAAUAUAACCACCAGUCUAAACAAUUUGUCACAAGACUUAAAAUGUGCACAUACACACCUAAAUGAUAUUCAGACAGGUGAACAGAACCAGCUGUCACCAAUGAAAUAAUCAGAAUCCUUCAAUUUCUGAAAGUGGUUAAUCCAGAACUGGCAAUGAUGUUUCCUGAAAAAAACCCACCAGCUCUCCAUACAUUGGUUGUGAGUGCUUGAGCCAUUGAUGAAGCAAUUCCUUGCAUGAGAGUCAUUGUGUUCGAGGCGUAAAAACCGCUGCAUGUCCUCCAUAGUCAUAUUCUCUGAAUUCUGGCUGCUGUGGCCCCCCCCCCUUUGUUCAACCUCUGAAAUAAAAUAUCCAGCAAUAAAUCUAGGAUUGCUGUUGGUUGAGUCUGCAUGAAGCCAGAUUAUCAUCCUAGAAAAUCCAUUCACAGCACCAUUAAUACAAAUACCAUAUAGUUUGAAUUUAUCAUAGGACUCUACAUGCCACAUAUAUAAUUAUAUGUGGCAUAUAAUUAUAUAUAAUAUAAUCGCCGUCUUAGACGAUUUACAACCUGGGGAUCCAAAAUAACAACAAUAACAAACAAUAACCAAUGUCUUAUUGAGUUCUGGGUGACAAUAAAUCCCUCCUGCAGGCACCGGAGGUGGUGUAGUUUGCAUCCUUGAAGUUGUCCAUGUGUUUGCAAUUGGCCCAUAAGAUACAAUGCAAAAAUGUCACUUUGUUUUUUUCUCUGAAAAAGUCCCAUUCUUGACAAAAUCCUUCUUCAUGUCGGAAUGCUCAUGACGACGCCAUCAACAGUACUAAGUGAAAGCAAUAUUUCGUUGUGAUUGGACCAUAAUAUGACUUAAUGAGAUCAUAGAGGUCUAUUGAGCUACUCUUUGUCUGUAUGUAUAUAAUUAAACAAUUGCCACGAUCUGUGGUGUAGCCUGUGUGACAUCUUGUUUAAUUUCUCGGUUUAUGCCUUAGUUUUGGUUUUAUGCUCUUAUUUUGGUAGCUCUUCCCGUUUUGCUUGGUUUGUGUCCGCCUGCUUUGCUUUUUUUCUUCAUCACUUGCACCUGUUGGUAA